RNAcentral lists this microRNA (22 nucleotides) under Artibeus jamaicensis (Jamaican fruit-eating bat). RNAcentral describes it as "aja-miR-3074". RNAcentral also lists the same sequence under 3 other names. The record is from miRBase by way of RNAcentral. Lineage: Eukaryota; Metazoa; Chordata; Mammalia; Chiroptera; Phyllostomidae.
GAUAUCAGCUCAGUAGGCACCG